UACGGAAGGGGCGAGCGUUGUUCGGAGUUACUGGGCGUAAAGGGCGCGUAGGCGGCGAUCCAAGUUAGGCGUGAAAGCCCCGGGCUUAACCUGGGAAUUGCGCUUAAGACUGGACUGCUUGAGUGCGGGAGAGGUGAGUGGAAUUCCCAGUGUAGAGGUGAAAUUCGUAGAUAUUGGGAAGAACACCAGUGGCGAAGGCGGCUCACUGGCCCGCAACUGACGCUGAGGCGCGAAAGCGUGGGGAGCAAACAGG
This 253-nucleotide ribosomal RNA is filed under the name uncultured bacterium. Its description in RNAcentral is "partial 16S ribosomal RNA". It matches the Rfam family "Bacterial small subunit ribosomal RNA", at positions 524 to 776 of the family's 1533-position model. The record is from RNAcentral.